This 205-nucleotide unclassified non-coding RNA is filed under the name Hevea brasiliensis (rubber tree). Lineage: Eukaryota; Viridiplantae; Streptophyta; Magnoliopsida; Malpighiales; Euphorbiaceae. The record is from RNAcentral.
CUCUUUGUUUACUACAAUCCCUUGACCUACUAUUUAUACCUCUCUGGCAGCUGCUGCUCUGCUACCACCACCUGUUGCUGUUAAAGUUAGAGAAAGCAUGAGGAUGAUGAUAGAGUUGGGCAACCAGCGUGGUACCCUCCCUAUAAUGGACGCUCAAACCUCUGUAGACUGUGGCAGGGAAGUUCGCUUCCGCAGAUCCUUUAGG